RNAcentral lists this ribosomal RNA (1422 nucleotides) under uncultured prokaryote. RNAcentral describes it as "partial 16S ribosomal RNA". It matches the Rfam family "Bacterial small subunit ribosomal RNA". The record is from RNAcentral.
AGAGUUUGAUCAUGGCUCAGGAUGAACGCUAGCGGUGCGCCUAACACAUGCAAGUCGAGCGAUAUAGCGGCGAACGGGUGAGUAACACGUUGGAACCUGCCCCGAACUCAGGGAUAGCCCACUGAAAAGUGGAUUAAUACCGGAUAGUCCCGAAAGGGUAAAGAUUUUUCGGUUCGAGAGGGGCCUGCGGCCUAUCAGCUUGUUGGUAGUGUAAUAGACUACCAAGGCUAUGACGGGUAUCUGGUGUGAGAGCAUGACCAGUCACAAUGGAACUGAGACACGGUCCAUACUCCUACGGGAGGCAGCAGUGAGGAAUCUUCCGCAAUGGGCGAAAGCCUGACGGAGCGACACCGCGUGGAGGACGACGGCCUUUUGGUUGUAAACUCCUUUUCUGGGGGAAUAAAUGAUGAAGGUACCCCAGGAAUAAGCACCGGCUAACUACGUGCCAGCAGCCGCGGUAAUACGUAGGGUGCAAGCGUUAUCCGGAAUCAUUGGGCGUAAAGCGUUCGUAGGCGGUUUGGAAAGUUUGUAGUUAAAUCUGGUCGCUCAACGAUCAACUUGCUACAAAAACUCUCAAGCUAGAGAAUAACAGGGGCAACUGGAAUUCCGCAUGUAGGGGUAAAAUCCGUUGAUAUGCGGAGGAACACCAAAAGCGAAGGCAGGUUGCUGGGUUAUUUCUGACGCUAAGGAACGAAAGCGUGGGGAGCGAACAGGAUUAGAUACCCUGGUAGUCCACGCCGUAAACGAUGGAUACUCGAUGUAGGGAGGACUCGACCCCUUUCUGUGUCUAAGCUAACGCGUAAGUAUCCCGCCUGGGGAGUACGGUCGCAAGAUUAAAACUCAAAGGAAUAGACGGGGACCCACACAAGCGGUGGAGCAUGUGGUUUAAUUCGAUGAUAAGCGGGGAACCUUACCCAGGCUUGACAUCUCCGGAAUCUCUAGGAAACUUGAGAGUGCCGCAAGGAACCGGAUGACAGGUGCUGCAUGGUCGUCGUCAGCUCGUGCCUUGAGGUGUUCGGUUAAGUCCGUAAACGAGCGCAACCCAUGUCUUGUGUUGCAAUUUCUCAUAGGAGACUGCCGGCUCCAAGUCGGAGGAAGGUAUGGAUGACGUCAGAUCAGCAUGGCCCUUAUGCCCUGGGCCACACACGUGCUACAAUGGCUGGUACAAUGAGUAGCGAACCCGCAAGGGGGAGCAAAUCUCAUCAAAGCCGGUCUAAGUUCGGAUUGGGGGCUGAAAUUCGACCCCAUGAAGUUGGAAUCGCUAGUAACCGCAAAUCAGCUAUGUUGCGGUGAAUACGUUCCUGGGUCUUGUACUCACCGCCCGUCACAUCAUGAAAGGUGGGAGUGCCCGAAGUCGCCUUAGCCCCUCGGGGCGGGUGCCUAAGGUAAAUCCACUGAUUGGGAUGAAGUCGUAACAAGGUA